UACGGGGGGGGCAAGCGUUGUUCGGAAUUACUGGGCGUAAAGGGCUCGUAGGUGGCCAACUAAGUCAGACGUGAAAUCCCUCAGCUUAACUGGGGAACUGCGUCUGAUACUGGAUGGCUUGAGAUUGGGAGAGGGAUGCGGAAUUCCAGGUGUAGCGGUGAAAUGCGUAGAUAUCUGGAGGAACACCGGUGGCGAAGGCGGCAUCCUGGACCAACACUGACACUGAGGAGCGAAAGCUAGGGGAGCAAACAGG
RNAcentral lists this ribosomal RNA (253 nucleotides) under uncultured bacterium. RNAcentral describes it as "partial 16S ribosomal RNA". It matches the Rfam family "Bacterial small subunit ribosomal RNA", at positions 524 to 776 of the family's 1533-position model. The record is from RNAcentral.